Molecule: unclassified non-coding RNA, 264 nt
Filed under: Hevea brasiliensis (rubber tree)
Lineage: Eukaryota; Viridiplantae; Streptophyta; Magnoliopsida; Malpighiales; Euphorbiaceae
Source: RNAcentral
GCCAAAAAUAACAGUUGGGAUUUGGCCCACAUCCGAAUCUGGCAAGCGCAUGACAAGGGAACCAUGUCGGAAUCGAUUCACAAAUUCUCCAAGAUGAUACUCACCAACCACCUCAAGACGACCCCGUUCCUCAUCAGUAGCACCUUCACUGUUCUUUCGCACUGUGAAUAGGUUAAAGUUAUUUUCUGAACCCAGGUAGAUGUCAUCAUCAAGAAUCUCAACAGCUGACAUCCAAUUUGCAUUAUAAUCACGAGCUCGCUCCUC